AGAUUGAACGCUGGCGGCAGGCCUAACACAUGCAAGUCGAGCGGUAACAUUUCAAAAGCUUGCUUUUGAAGAUGACGAGCGGCGGACGGGUGAGUAAUGCCUGGGAAUAUGCCUUGAUGUGGGGGAUAACCAUUGGAAACGAUGGCUAAUACCGCAUAAUGCCUACGGGCCAAAGAGGGGGAUCUUCGGACCUCUCGCGUCAAGAUUAGCCCAGGUGGGAUUAGCUAGUUGGUGAGGUAAUGGCUCACCAAGGCGACGAUCCCUAGCUGGUCUGAGAGGAUGAUCAGCCACACUGGAACUGAGACACGGUCCAGACUCCUACGGGAGGCAGCAGUGGGGAAUAUUGCACAAUGGGCGCAAGCCUGAUGCAGCCAUGCCGCGUGUGUGAAGAAGGCCUUCGGGUUGUAAAGCACUUUCAGUCGUGAGGAAGGUAUUAGCGUUAAUAGCGUUAUUGUUUGACGUUAGCGACAGAAGAAGCACCGGCUAACUCCGUGCCAGCAGCCGCGGUAAUACGGAGGGUGCGAGCGUUAAUCGGAAUUACUGGGCGUAAAGCGCAUGCAGGUGGUUUGUUAAGUCAGAUGUGAAAGCCCGGGGCUCAACCUCGGAAUUGCAUUUGAAACUGGCAGACUAGAGUACUGUAGAGGGGGGUAGAAUUUCAGGUGUAGCGGUGAAAUGCGUAGAGAUCUGAAGGAAUACCGGUGGCGAAGGCGGCCCCCUGGACAGAUACUGACACUCAGAUGCGAAAGCGUGGGGAGCAAACAGGAUUAGAUACCCUGGUAGUCCACGCCGUAAACGAUGUCUACUUGGAGGUUGUGGCCUUGAGCCGUGGCUUUCGGAGCUAACGCGUUAAGUAGACCGCCUGGGGAGUACGGUCGCAAGAUUAAAACUCAAAUGAAUUGACGGGGGCCCGCACAAGCGGUGGAGCAUGUGGUUUAAUUCGAUGCAACGCGAAGAACCUUACCUACUCUUGACAUCCAGAGAAGCCAGCGGAGACGCAGGUGUGCCUUCGGGAACUCUGAGACAGGUGCUGCAUGGCUGUCGUCAGCUCGUGUUGUGAAAUGUUGGGUUAAGUCCCGCAACGAGCGCAACCCUUAUCCUUGUUUGCCAGCGAGUAAUGUCGGGAACUCCAGGGAGACUGCCGGUGAUAAACCGGAGGAAGGUGGGGACGACGUCAAGUCAUCAUGGCCCUUACGAGUAGGGCUACACACGUGCUACAAUGGCGCAUACAGAGGGCUGCCAACCAGCGAUGGUGAGCGAAUCCCAAAAAGUGCGUCGUAGUCCGGAUUGGAGUCUGCAACUCGACUCCAUGAAGUCGGAAUCGCUAGUAAUCGUGGAUCAGAAUGCCACGGUGAAUACGUUCCCGGGCC
This 1367-nucleotide ribosomal RNA is filed under the name Vibrio ichthyoenteri. RNAcentral's name for it is "bacterial SSU rRNA". It matches the Rfam family "Bacterial small subunit ribosomal RNA", at positions 26 to 1380 of the family's 1533-position model. Lineage: Bacteria; Pseudomonadati; Pseudomonadota; Gammaproteobacteria; Vibrionales; Vibrionaceae. The record is from RNAcentral. RNAcentral also lists the same sequence under 1 other name.